RNAcentral lists this ribosomal RNA (384 nucleotides) under Triticum aestivum (bread wheat). RNAcentral's name for it is "partial small subunit ribosomal RNA". Lineage: Eukaryota; Viridiplantae; Streptophyta; Magnoliopsida; Poales; Poaceae. The record is from RNAcentral.
UCGGCGUCCACUGCAUACAAGGCACAAUUUCUGGGUUUGACGCUUUCCCCCAUGGACUCCAUGGUCUGGAAAAUGUGGGCGCCCCCAAAGGUCAAAUUCUUCUCUUGGCUGGCCUUACAAGAUCGGAUUUGGACCGCCGACAGGCUAGAGCGACGUGGCUGGGACAACUGCGGUCUUUGUCCGCUCUGUAAGCAGGUGCAGGAGUCGGGCAUCCACCUAUUCGCCAAAUGCCGCUUCACCUUGAGGCUUUGGCGGAUGCUCAUUGACAAGUAUGGGCUUGCGCAUCUAGACCCUUCUGACUGGCACCUUGAGGAUUCCCUCCUCUCUUGGUGGGACAAGCGCACCAAUUCGAGCAUUCCGGAUCGUCGAGCCAUGGCCUCCCUU